GCAAACUUGGUCAUUUAGAGGAAGUAAAAGUCGUAACAAGGUAACCGUAGGUGAACCUGCGGUUGGAUCAUUAACGAAUAACUAUAUGAUUCGAACCCUACUCUAAUACUACUAGAGGACAGGUUCGAAUUAUAUUAUCACCCCUCUUGUGAACUGUAAACGUACUUUGGCAGCCCUCCAAAGCUCCAAUUUUAAUAUCUCGUUAAAAUUGGAAUGGGCUGUCAGUUUUUAUGUUAAACACCUGUUUUUAUACAACAUAUGAGUUUUAAAAUGAGCAGCGAAAAGACCUUUGUAAUAAAGGGUUGGUAUCAAAGCUACAUUUCUUUAUUGAAAUGAUUUGAAAAAACAACUUUUGACAACGGAUCUCUUGGCUCUCGCAUCGAUGAAGAACGCAGC
This 396-nucleotide unclassified non-coding RNA is filed under the name uncultured fungus. Its description in RNAcentral is "partial contains small subunit ribosomal RNA, internal transcribed spacer 1, and 5.8S ribosomal RNA". The stretch from base 1 to 73 matches the Rfam family "Eukaryotic small subunit ribosomal RNA", at positions 1759 to 1831 of the family's 1831-position model. Lineage: Eukaryota; Fungi. The record is from RNAcentral.